UGCCAGUAGUCAUAUGCUUGUCUCAAAGACUAAGCCAUGCAUGUCUAAGUAUAAAUGUUAUACAGUGAAACUGCGAAUGGCUCAUUAAAACAGUUAUAGUUUAUUUGAUAAUCGAAUUUACAUGGAUAACCGUGGUAAUUCUAGAGCUAAUACAUGCUGGUUAGCCUGACUUCGAGGAAGGGCUGUAUUUAUUAGAUAACAAACCAAUAUUCCCCGUGUCUAUUGUGAUGACUCAUAAUAACUGAUCGAAUCGCAUGGACUUUGUCCGCGAUACAUCAUUCAAGUUUCUGCCCCAUCAGCUUUCGAUGGUAGUGUAUUGGACUACCAUGGCUUUAACGGGUAACGGAGGAUUAGGGUUCGAUUCCGGAGAGGGAGCCUGAGAAACGGCUACCACAUCUAAGGAAGGCAGCAAGCGCGUAAAUUACCCAAUCCUGACUCAGGGAGGUAGUGACAAGAAAUAACGGACCGAGGCAUCUGCUUCGGGAUUGCAAUGAGUAGAAUUUAAACCCCUUUACGAGGAUCAAUUGGAGGGCAAGUCUGGU
Molecule: ribosomal RNA, 542 nt
Filed under: uncultured Oligotrichia
Lineage: Eukaryota; Ciliophora; Spirotrichea
Description: SSU rRNA
Rfam family: Eukaryotic small subunit ribosomal RNA
Source: RNAcentral